UCUUUAAUGUCUUAAUUGGCCCUUACAACAGCUCAGACAGGAACUGGGAUAUGUUUGGGUUAAGCAGUUUUGCAGGCCGGGGAAACUGAGGCAAAUCCCGACUGACUGCGGAGCCCUGCCUUUCCUCAGGAGGUAAGAACUUCAAGCCGCGCGCUUUAUGGCGGGACACUAAAACCAGCUUCCCAUUCAGGAUCCCUCGGUCCCUUGCCCUCCACUCUCGUACACCCCGGAGCAGGUGGUAGGCUCUGUGUUCACCACGCAGGCGCGCGACGCCGUGUGGGGCGUGGUCGGGCGGGCCCGGAGGCGGGGCCGGCGCGCGCCGGGAGGAAGAGCUGGGAUUUGGGCCGCGGCGGGAGCCCGAGUCGGCGUCACUCGAGUGCGCAGGCGCCUGGCGGUUACCGGUCUCGCCAUGGAGCGGAAAGUGCUCGCGCUCCAGGCCCGAAAGAAAAGGACCAAGGCCAAGAAGGACAAAGCCCAAAGGAAGCCUGAAACUCAGCACCGAGGCUCUGCACCCCACUCCGAGAGCGACAUCCCAGAGCAGGAGGAGGAGAUUCUAGGGUCUGACGAUGACGAGCAGGAAGACCCCAAUGACUACUGUAAAGGAGGUUAUCAUCUUGUGAAAAUUGGAGAUCUAUUUAACGGGAGAUACCAUGUGAUUCGAAAAUUGGGCUGGGGACACUUUUCCACAGUGUGGUUAUCAUGGGAUAUUCAGGGAAAGAAGUUUGUAGCAAUGAAAGUAGUUAAAAGUGCUGAGCAUUACACAGAAACAGCACUAGAUGAAAUCCGGCUGCUGAAAUCGGUUCGCAACUCAGACCCGAAUGAUCCAAAUGGAGAAAUGGUUGUUCAACUACUAGAUGACUUUAAAAUAUCAGGCGUUAAUGGAACACAUAUCUGCAUGGUGUUUGAGGUUUUGGGGCAUCAUCUACUCAAGUGGAUCAUCAAGUCCAACUAUCAGGGGCUUCCGCUGCCUUGUGUCAAAAAAAUUAUUCAGCAAGUGCUACAGGGCCUGGAUUACUUACACACCAAGUGCCGGAUCAUCCACACGGACAUCAAACCAGAGAACAUCUUGUUGUCUGUGAAUGAGCAGUACAUUCGAAGGCUGGCUGCAGAGGCCACAGAGUGGCAGCGCUCAGGAGCUCCCCCACCAUCGGGGUCUGCAGUCAGCACUGCUCCACAGCCUAAGCCAGCUGACAAAAUGUCAAAGAAUAAGAAGAAGAAAUUGAAGAAGAAGCAGAAGCGCCAGGCAGAAUUACUAGAGAAGCGAAUGCAGGAAAUUGAGGAAAUGGAGAAAGAGUCGGGCCCUGGGCAAAAAAGACCUAACAAGCAAGAAGAAUCAGAGAGUCCUGUUGACAGACCCCUGACAGAGAACCCACCUAAUAAAAUGACCCAAGAGAAACUUGAAGAGUCAAAUUCCAUUGGCCAGGACCAGACACUCACGGAGCGUGGUGGAGAGGGUGGUGCGCCAGAGAUUAAUUGCAAUGGAGUGAUUGGAGUCGUUAAUUACCCUGAGAACAGUAAUAAUGAGACACUGAGGCAUAAAGAGGAUCUGCAUAAUGCUAAUGACUGUGAUGUCCACACUUUGAAGCAGGAACCUAGUUUCCUAAACUCUUCAAAUGGAGACAGCAGUCCAUCUCAAGACACAGACUCUUGCACACCCACGGCCUCUGAGACCAUGGUGUGCCAAUCCUCUGCAGAGCAGUCACUCACCCGACAGGACAUCACCCAGCUGGAGGAGAGCAUUCGGGCAGAUACACCUUCUGGGGAUGAGCAGGAGCCCAAUGGAGCCCUGGACAGCAAAGGAAAAUUCUCUGCUGGAAAUUUUCUUAUUAAUCCCCUUGAGCCAAAAAAUGCAGAGAAGCUCCAAGUGAAGAUCGCAGACCUCGGGAACGCCUGCUGGGUGCACAAGCAUUUCACUGAAGAUAUCCAGACACGGCAGUAUCGGUCUUUGGAAGUCCUGAUAGGAUCUGGCUACAACACCCCUGCUGACAUCUGGAGCACAGCAUGCAUGGCCUUUGAACUAGCCACAGGGGACUAUUUGUUUGAGCCUCAUUCAGGGGAGGAUUACACACGAGAUGAAGGUCAGAAAGCAAGUAUGCAGUGCCUUACAGAAUGGUAUGUGCACCGCUCUGUAUGCUGUGUCUAAAGUCACUUCUGUCAUUCUGCUCUGUUCUUUCCUCUGAAAUGUCUGUAUGCAGACCACAUCGCCCUGAUCAUAGAACUUCUGGGGAAGGUGCCUCGCAAGCUCAUUGUGGCAGGAAAAUACUCCAAGGAAUUUUUCACCAAAAAAGGUGACCUGAAGCACAUCACCAAGUUGAAGCCUUGGGGUCUUCUGGAGGUUCUGGUGGAGAAAUAUGAGUGGCCUCAGGAGGAGGCUGCCGGCUUCACAGAUUUCCUGCUGCCCAUGUUGGAGCUUAUGCCUGAGAAGAGAGCCACUGCUGCUGAGUGUCUCCGGCAUCCUUGGCUAAACUCCUAAGCCAGUCCUGCCACUGCAGCAGAGCUCAUCAUAUGGACCUUCCCUCCAGCCCACCCCUCAAACUUCCCUCUCCUUUUUCAGGGCAAAGCUCUUUCUUUCAAGGGUUUCUAUUUUUUUUUUAAACCAACAUGUUCAUUUGGGUUUGCUUCCUUGAUCCUGUGGAAAUUCCCACGGCCAUUGGGCAUCCUAGGUGAAUUUGGCCUUGGUUGGGCUCUGCCAAAGACUAAAAGUGUGAACAGCCUCACCCUCUGCCCUGCCAUCUUAUUAGGUUGUCAGUGCCCUUUCUAAGAAGAGCUGUGAAGAUCUGUGAGCCCAUCCAUCCUCUUUAUUCACUGACUCUGAGAGUCACACUUUCUCGUGCACAUCCGCCGCCAGCACAAGAUUGAGGAGGGGAGGGCUGUGGAUUCUGUGAACAGCAGAGACAUUAAAUGCGCUGUAUCCAGGCUGCAUCAUCUUCCUGGAUUCUAUCUGUGGUUUCUAUGCUCACAUUUUUUUCCUGCGACUUUUAUGCUACAUUUUUCGAUGAGCAACCAGUUUGGGUACCAUUUUAUCACUGUUGAAAGUAUUGUUGGAUCCCUCUCAUCUUCUCACAACUAAGUUCCUGGAAUCUUGAGUCUGUUGUUUUUGUUUUUUUUUUUUUUUUUUUUUUUUUUUUGGUUUUUGUUUUUUUUGUUGUUUUUUUUUUUUUUUUUUUUUUUUGGUUUUUUUGUUUUGAUUUUUCGAGACAGGAUUUCUCUGUGUAGUCCUGGCUGUCCUGGAACUCACUUUGUAGACCAGGCUGGCCUCGAACUCAGAAAUCCGCCUGCCUCUGCCUCUCAAGUGCUGGGAUUAAAGGCGUGUGCCACCACGCCCAGCUGAGUCUGGUUUUUAAUGUAGACAAAAGAGAACCAGUGAAUUUCAGUUACUGGGAGCCUCAGGUGUUGUGAAAUAGUCCUUUUCUGUGUCCUGUGUUGCCGUAAGAACAGUCAUUUCAGUCUGUCCUCCCAUUUAGAAGGCCCUCCUGGAGCUUUGCCUGCUCAGCUUGAAUGGACUGACUGUCUUGUAACGAGCUUUGGGGUGAUCCAGACAGGAGACGAAGGUUUCUGAGCUGCCCUGUUCAGGGAGUGUUCCCUCCCACAUUCCAAGGCCUUCCCAGACAGCUCUGCUUCCAUCCACAGCUUUCCUGCCUUGCCUAGAAUUCUGGCCUUGACUCAGUUUCUCCAUGUGGCUGUGCUGUUCUCAUUUCUCAGAGGCCUUUGAGAUCCUGGGUGAGGAGCCAAGGGGAGGAGAGGCUGGCACUUUUCUCAAUCGUUUUCCUGUUGGUUUUGACAUGAGUCAUCCUAUGCUGCUAUUUCCUUGUAUAAUGUAAGGUUUCUGUUUUGUUUUUAAACAUCAAUUUUGAGAUGAUUGAAAUGUACUUGAGGCUUUUUCUUCUUAAUGCAAAAAGGCUUUGUGAACUUUGUUUUAGGCUUGGCCCCUCAUAGACUUGAUUACCUAAACAUUACAUGUUCCUGGGGUGAAGCGUGCACGCAUCAGAAGGACAGGAUUGGGGUCACGUGACAGCUGCUUGCAGAUUUUAGCAAGGACCAAGUGGGUCUUGAUUAUAGCACUCUGGAAACAGCUCAGUUUCUAACUUGGAGAAAGCCAGAGUCGCAAGCCUAGGCUCCCCUAAGCAAGCUCACUGAAACGCACCACUGCCUCCUUCCUGUGUGGAAGACUGGAGAGUCACCCUCAUGAUUGGCUCACCAGCAAGCAGCUUCCUGUAACUCAUCAACUUCACCUGAGGAACUGGCCAGCCAUUCAUUGGCUCAUGCUUGGUUAUCUGGAACCAGACUUGUUCCUGUAGAAAGAGUUUUAAGUCAGGUUAUCUAUGCACCUAUCAAGAAUAAAGAGAGCAGAUGACAUCACAUAACGGCAGGGAAAUCUUACAGCAGUUUUAAUCCACUCUGGGUUGUCAACUGUAUUGACAUCUAAAGCAAUAGCAGACCUACCUGAAACUCCUUCUCAGCAAAUCUCAGUUGUGGGAUUAUAGAAAUCCUAGUGACAUUAAGGUGACCUAACCAAGAAACACAAGCCAACAGCAGGUCUGUUUUAAUCAUUGACUCCAUGGGAAAUUUUAAUGGGGGUAGAACCUGGAACCUCAUUCCAGACAUAAGUCCCACCAGAUAAGGGCUUUCUCCUUGCUGCUUGAGGAGCCAGAGAACCUGGGAGAGUGGAAGGAGACAGGCGCAAAAGCUGCCCUUCUGUGGGCUCCUGAGCUUGGCCGAGCAGUUGGUGCCAUAGAGGCCAGGUCUCCCUGAUGGACUGCUGUUGGCUCCUGGUUAAAGAUAAGGCCCCCCGAGGCCCUGAUACGUUUUAUAUUCUUUCUACUGAGUGCGAUGUUUGUGUCCUCACAAAUGCAGAUCAAUAAACAGAGUAUUUAAUAACCUG
Mus musculus (house mouse) is the source of this 4882-nucleotide RNA transcript. It is a transcript of the gene named serine/arginine-rich protein specific kinase 1, with no coding region annotated. The transcript has 16 exons. Lineage: Eukaryota; Metazoa; Chordata; Mammalia; Rodentia; Muridae. The record is from RefSeq and is marked validated.